This 301-nucleotide ribosomal RNA is filed under the name uncultured bacterium. Its description in RNAcentral is "partial 16S ribosomal RNA". It matches the Rfam family "Bacterial small subunit ribosomal RNA", at positions 509 to 808 of the family's 1533-position model. The record is from RNAcentral.
CAGUAGCCGCGGGAAUACGAAGGGUGCAAGCGUUACUCGGAAUUACUGGGCGUAAAGCGUGCGUAGGUGGUGGUUUAAGUCCGUUGUGAAAGCCCUGGGCUCAACCUGGGAAUUGCAGUGGAUACUGGGUCACUAGAGUGUGGUAGAGGAUAGUGGAAUUUCCGGUGUAGCAGUGAAAUGCGUAGAGACCGGAAGGAACAUCUGUGGCGAAGGCGACUAUCUGGGCCAACACUGACACUGAGGCACGAAAGCGUGGGGAGCAAACAGGAUUAGAUACCCCUGUAGUCCCUGUCUCUAUACA